CUGGCACUGGGCUGGGAGCCACCACGCCAGCACAGGCACUGGGGCUGUGGGAGCACCAAGGACUUGGCAGGGAAACAAGCAGCAAAGGAGUGACCGUCCUCCUCAGCAGCUCAUUGGGGAACAGUCGCUCCUGAGAGUGAGACACAGCGCACAGGCUCGGUUUACGAUGCGGCUGGAACUCUUCUAGAAAAGCAACUGUAUCUGCAAAAAGGUGCUACGUGGGGUGCAGAAAAACAUGCUUGGCAGCAGCUCCUGGCUUGGAGAGAGUAAACGUGUCUGAAAGUGUCCAAAUCUGUCUGCAUAGCAGGGGGAGAAUGGAAGUGAAGUUUUCUCCUUCAACAGAAGCCUGGGGGAGAGCACGGGGGCUGCAGCUGAAGGAAGGGACAUUGCUGUGGAUGUUUGCACACAAUGCUGUGGAUAUCUGCUUCACAAUGCUCUGGAUAUCAUG
This is a long non-coding RNA of Melospiza melodia melodia, 448 nucleotides long. RefSeq lists it as uncharacterized. The record is from RefSeq and is a predicted model, not a curated record. NCBI's taxonomy places the organism in Eukaryota, Metazoa, Chordata, Aves, Passeriformes, Passerellidae. The transcript is spliced from 4 exons.